Long non-coding RNA from Melanotaenia boesemani (Boeseman's rainbowfish), 632 nucleotides. RefSeq lists it as uncharacterized. The record is from RefSeq and is a predicted model, not a curated record. NCBI's taxonomy places the organism in Eukaryota, Metazoa, Chordata, Actinopteri, Atheriniformes, Melanotaeniidae. The transcript has 3 exons.
UGGAAGGAUACAGAAUGGAGGUGGCACUGGCAGUCUUGAGAGACACUGAUGAUCUCAGUAUGCUCUGCCACUGUUGUGGAGAAAGCGAGACAGAGAAGGGCUCAGACAGCGACAGCAACACCACUGACUGGAUUGAGUGUGACCAGUGUCAGCGGUGGUACCACAACAAAUGUGUUGGCAAUCCAGAUGGCAGCGUGUCGUACAGCUGUGGCGCUUGCAGAAAGUGAAAAGGAUGUUGACUCGCCCUAAAUGCCCAGUGCAAUCCCCCCAUCAACAAUGUCCAGAUUAAACAAGUUGAAAAAAGAAGACAUACGUUUUGUAAAUAUUCCAUAAAUGUUAUUAAAACAAUUUGUAAAUGUUUGGAUAAAGAGAGUAACAAUUAUCUUGUGUAUUAUUUGUAAAGACUAAAGGUAUUUAAAUUUGGGUUUAUUAUAGUGCAGGUACAGUAAGGUAACACUUUCUGAUGGCUAUCAGAAAUGGUGACCUGGGCUUUUCUGUCCCUGUAGAGUGACAUACUUUUAUAAAUUGUGUCCGAAAUAAAGAGGAGAGAUGUAGGAGUACAUAAAAACACAUUUUUUUCUGCUGUGGGUUUAUUAUAAUGCAGGUACAGUAAGGGAACACUUUCUGACAGC